This 252-nucleotide ribosomal RNA is filed under the name uncultured bacterium. RNAcentral's name for it is "partial 16S ribosomal RNA". It matches the Rfam family "Bacterial small subunit ribosomal RNA", at positions 524 to 776 of the family's 1533-position model. The record is from RNAcentral.
UACGUAGGGAGCGAGCGUUGUCCGGAAUUACUGGGCGUAAAGGGUGCGUAGGUGGUUUCUUAAGUCAGAGGUGAAAGGCUACGGCUCAACCGUAGUAAGCCUUUGAAACUGGGAAACUUGAGUGCAGGAGAGGAGAGUGGAAUUCCUAGUGUAGCGGUGAAAUGCGUAGAUAUUAGGAGGAACACCAGUUGCGAAGGCGGCUCUCUGGACUGUAACUGACACUGAGGCACGAAAGCGUGGGGAGCAAACAGG